This 301-nucleotide ribosomal RNA is filed under the name uncultured bacterium. RNAcentral's name for it is "partial 16S ribosomal RNA". It matches the Rfam family "Bacterial small subunit ribosomal RNA", at positions 509 to 809 of the family's 1533-position model. The record is from RNAcentral.
CAGUAGCCACGGUAAUACGGAGGGAGCUAGCGUUGUUCGGAAUUACUGGGCGUAAAGCGCGCGUAGGCGGUUACUCAAGUCAGAGGUGAAAGCCCGGGGCUCAACCCCGGAACUGCCUUUGAAACUAGGUGACUAGAAUCUUGGAGAGGUCAGUGGAAUUCCGAGUGUAGAGGUGAAAUUCGUAGAUAUUCGGAAGAACACCAGUGGCGAAGGCGACUGACUGGACAAGUAUUGACGCUGAGGUGCGAAAGCGUGGGGAGCAAACAGGAUUAGAUACCCGCGUAGUCCCUGUCUCUUAUAA